This 429-nucleotide ribosomal RNA is filed under the name uncultured Gammaproteobacteria bacterium. Its description in RNAcentral is "bacterial SSU rRNA". It matches the Rfam family "Bacterial small subunit ribosomal RNA", at positions 355 to 776 of the family's 1533-position model. Lineage: Bacteria; Pseudomonadati; Pseudomonadota; Gammaproteobacteria. The record is from RNAcentral.
UGGGGAAUAUUGGACAAUGGGGGAAACCCUGAUCCAGCCAUGCCGCGUGUGUGAAGAAGGCCUUCGGGUUGUAAAGCACUUUAAGCAGGGAGGAAAGAGCAAUGGCUAAUAUCCAUUGUUUUUGACGCUACCUGCAGAAUAAGCACCGGCUAACUUCGUGCCAGCAGCCGCGGUAAUACGAAGGGUGCAAGCGUUAAUCGGAAUUACUGGGCGUAAAGCGCGCGUAGGCGGUUUGAUAAGUUGGAUGUGAAAGCCCCGGGCUCAACCUGGGAAUUGCAUCCAAGACUGUCAGGCUAGAGUACGGGAGAGGGGGGUAGAAUUCCACGUGUAGCGGUGAAAUGCGUAGAGAUGUGGAGGAAUACCGGUGGCGAAGGCGGCCCCCUGGAUCGAUACUGACGCUGAGGUGCGAAAGCGUGGGGAGCAAACAGG